GCUAGGUGUCGUGGCCCACGCCUGCAAUCCCAGCAGCUCUGGAGGCUGAGGCAGGAGGAUCUCAAUUUCAAAACCAGCCUCAGCCUCUUAGCCAGGCCCUAAGCAACUUAGAGAGACCCUGCCUUAA
Molecule: small RNA, 127 nt
Filed under: Marmota monax (woodchuck)
Lineage: Eukaryota; Metazoa; Chordata; Mammalia; Rodentia; Sciuridae
Source: RNAcentral